This 72-nucleotide transfer RNA is filed under the name Takifugu ocellatus. RNAcentral describes it as "tRNA-Thr". It matches the Rfam family "tRNA". Rfam says of the family: Transfer RNA (tRNA) molecules are approximately 80 nucleotides in length. Their secondary structure includes four short double-helical elements and three loops (D, anti-codon, and T loops). Lineage: Eukaryota; Metazoa; Chordata; Actinopteri; Tetraodontiformes; Tetraodontidae. The record is from RNAcentral.
GCAUUAGUAGCUCAGAUUCAGAGCGUCGGUCUUGUAAACCGAACGUCGAGGGUUAAAAUCCCCCCUUAUGCU